This 230-nucleotide ribosomal RNA is filed under the name uncultured bacterium. Its description in RNAcentral is "partial 16S ribosomal RNA". It matches the Rfam family "Bacterial small subunit ribosomal RNA", at positions 976 to 1220 of the family's 1533-position model. The record is from RNAcentral.
CAGGCUAGAAACCAAACUGCACGCCUCCUGAAAGGGAGGAAGCCUUCGAGGGUGUUUGGCAGGUGAUGCAUGGUCGUCGUCAGUUCGUGGCUUGAGCUGUUCCCUUCAGUGGGGUAACGAACGCAACCCUCGUUGUCUGUUAUAUAUGUCAGGCGAGACUGCCCCCUCACGGGGGAGGAAGGUGAGGAUGACGCCAGAUCAGCAUGUCCCUUGAUGCCUGGGGCCGCACA